Myodes glareolus (Bank vole) is the source of this 628-nucleotide non-coding RNA. The record is from RefSeq and is a predicted model, not a curated record. Lineage: Eukaryota; Metazoa; Chordata; Mammalia; Rodentia; Cricetidae.
UUGACAUCAAGAUAAAUGAAGAAGAUGGAGACAGAGGGAAGGAAUGAAACACAUACUGUUACAAGAGAACCUUGGCACCAGGAUGCUAAAGGAGAACUUGAAUUCCAAAUUUCAUUGUGGUGUCACAAGGUAUAAACAAGAACCUGGCAGCACAGCUUCGCGAGAGGGUUCCACUUAGAAGCCAGUGAUCUGCUCUUCCAGUGAAUCCUAGUUGAGUUCCUGGUUCCUGUUUCAGGUGAUCACAACGACUUGCAACUUUAGCUAUAAGAGAGUGCUCAUUAAUCCAUCAUGGAAGUGGUCCUACUUGGUAAAUCAAUUGAGGCUGUCAUGAAUGGACCUGUGAAAGUGGCGAGAAAUUUGAAGAAGAAGAAAACUGAAAUAAAUGUCAGGGGUCAUAAGUCUCUAGAAUUCAUGCAUUGUACAAUCUAGGAUUUUCUUCGUACAUUAGGUAAGUGAAUCUCAGUUUAUGCUGGCCUUAAGUAGGAAAGAAGGCACACAGAGUGCACAUUUGCUUAACAAUGCUUGGCUGUGCCACAUAUUAUAUCAGCAUAGUGUAUCCACUCAAAAAGCAAGAUUUCUUUUUAAGGUGAUCAGAGACAGUAGACGAGAACACAGUUGAACUGGUGAA